Molecule: ribosomal RNA, 108 nt
Filed under: Alcanivorax sp.
Lineage: Bacteria; Pseudomonadati; Pseudomonadota; Gammaproteobacteria; Oceanospirillales; Alcanivoracaceae
Description: partial 16S ribosomal RNA
Rfam family: Bacterial small subunit ribosomal RNA
Source: RNAcentral
UUGAACUGAAGAGUUUGAUCAUGGCUCAGAUUGAACGCUGGCGGCGGGCUUAACACAUGCAAGUCGAGCGGAAACGAUGAUAGCUUGCUAUCAGGCGUCGAGCGGCGG